UGGGGAAUCUUGCACAAUGGAGGAAACUCUGAUGCAGCGACGCCGCGUGAACGAUGAAGCCCUUCGGGGUGUAAAGUUCUUUCGACAGGGACGAUAAUGACGGUACCUGAAGAAGAAGCUGCGGCUAACUACGUGCCAGCAGCCGCGGUAAUACGUAGGCAGCGAGCGUUGUUCGGAAUUACUGGGCGUAAAGAGUGCGUAGGUGGUUGGCUAAGUUUGGUGUGAAAUCUCCCGGCUUAACUGGGAGGGUGCGCCGAAAACUGGCUAGCUAGAGUGUGGGAGAGGAACGUGGAAUUCCUGGUGUAGCGGUGAAAUGCGUAGAUAUCAGGAGGAACACCUGAGGUGUAGACGGCGUUCUGGACCAUUACUGACACUGAGGCACGAAAGCGUGGGUAGCAAACA
RNAcentral lists this ribosomal RNA (402 nucleotides) under uncultured prokaryote. Its description in RNAcentral is "bacterial SSU rRNA". It matches the Rfam family "Bacterial small subunit ribosomal RNA", at positions 355 to 774 of the family's 1533-position model. The record is from RNAcentral.